UACAGAGGUGGCAAGCGUUGUUCGGAAUUACUGGGCGUAAAGGGCGCGUAGGUGGCCUUCUUAGUCAGACGUGAAAUCCCCAGGCUUAACCUGGGAACUGCGUCUGAUACUGGACGGCUUGAGUAUGGGAGAGGAACGUAGAAUUCCAGGUGUAGCGGUGAAAUGCGUAGAUAUCUGGAGGAAUACCGGUGGCGAAGGCGGCGUUCUGGACCAUUACUGACACUGAAUCGCGAAAGCUAGGGGAGCAAACGGG
This 253-nucleotide ribosomal RNA is filed under the name uncultured bacterium. Its description in RNAcentral is "partial 16S ribosomal RNA". It matches the Rfam family "Bacterial small subunit ribosomal RNA", at positions 524 to 776 of the family's 1533-position model. The record is from RNAcentral.